RNAcentral lists this long non-coding RNA (4541 nucleotides) under Homo sapiens (human). RNAcentral describes it as "HSALNT0207070". Lineage: Eukaryota; Metazoa; Chordata; Mammalia; Primates; Hominidae. The record is from RNAcentral.
UCUCUGCAGGUGCUGCUAUCACCACAGAGCAGCCCGAUUGCGGCUGGCGUGUGCCUGAGCUGGCUGUCCCUCUGGCCACAUGUCCGGUGCUACAGGGUCUUCAAGGGUGUGUGGGGCUGGGCAGCAUCCGCCAGGCCCAGGCCCCGGGAACUGAAGGUGUUUCCUCCACGUCAGCCUCUGCACCUCCUAAGCACACACCUGCUGCAGGUGCCGGGAGUCAGUGCCUGAGACACCUGAGGACGCCUCCUCCUUGAAGGCUGGAGUCGACUGACUGCAUCUUGUACUGAUUUUGCGGGGAUUUCUGGUCUUUUUUAUCCAAUGCACGCUGGUCCCCGCCGCUGCUGGAGUGAGGCUGGUUGUCUCUGAGUGGGCUCUGCACCCUCACAGCAGGCAUCCUGACCCCUUUCUUUCCCACUCCAAGCUCACAUGCUGGAUCCCGCACCACAGACAGCCCCGAGGCCGCGCUCACAAGACCAGAUGGCCAGCUCGCCAUUUCUACCUUUCGGUGUCCAGGAGUUUUUCUUUUGUCUUUACUUGUUUAUUGAGGAAUGAAGAGUCAAUGAAGACUGAUCAAGACACUGCCUUGAAAGGGUUUCAUGGGCAAAGAACAAAAGCAAAUCAAAGGGUUCAUCCAGGCAAGGGGCUGACGCUCUUCCCCUGUUGGGGAGGAGGAACAGAUGAGGGCGGGGAGGACACAGCCCAGGACUCACAAGGCCCUGCCGUCCACAUUUCCUGAGAACUGCGAAGCAUCGUGCAGCCACGAGUUUCCCCAGACACCAGCACCCAUCCCCAGGCCUGCGGGUCAGUGAUUCUAGCUCAUCUGAUGGGCCGUCCAUAGGGAAGGGAUGGGCCCGCAGACCUGCCUGUUUGGUUGAUUGAAGUGGGACCUCUUUCACGACGAACGCCAGAUUGAAAUUCAUCACAGCAAAUGCCUAAGUUUGGAGAACAAUAUAUUUAUAGUGAGCUGAUUAGAUAUCAGAUGCACCUUUUCUCAACAAGUCGUUCUCUCACCCGUCUGAUUUCUAACCUCCUGAAGAGCAAAACCUGUCACCGACCCAGGAGCAGCAGGCAGAAGAGAAAUUCCAAAACAUCCUGAAGAGCAAGAGGCUCUGUGGAAAAUACCAGGGCUUGUGCAGGCGGGGGAGCUCACCGCCCUGGGCCAGAAGCCCCUCACCUGGAGGCAGCGGGUGCUGCCCUGAGUCAGGGCCCACAGGAGGCUUCUGGGCACAGACACACCCUGCAGAGAGGGUCCUGCUGGAACGCUUUGACAUUUCUAGGAUCUGGACUGUCCACGGGGAGAGACCAGGAGGGCAUGAGAAAUACGCUGAGUUGGGGCCGGGUGCAGUGGCUCAUGCCUGUCAUCCUAGCACUUUGGGAGGCCAAGACGGGUGGAUCACAUGAGGCUAGGAGUUUGAGACCAGCUUGGCCAGCAUGAUGAAACCCCGUAUCUACUAAAAAUACAAAUAUUAGCUGGGCUUGAUGGUGCACACCUGUAGUCCCAGCUACUUGGGAGGCUGAAGCAGGAGAAUCACUUGAACUUGGGAGGCUGAGGCAGGAGAAUCACUUGAACUUGGGAGGCUGAGGCAGGAGAAUCACUUGAACCCAGGAGGCGGAGGAGGUUGCAGUGAGCAGAAAUCGUGCCACUGCUCUCCAGCCUGGGCUACAGAGUAAGACUCUGUCUCAAAAAGAAAAAAAAAAAGAAACACACUGAGUUGGAACUCACUAUAUCACAAACAUUGAGGCCUACUUGCAUAACACAGUUGUUCCAAGCAACAAAUGUCACCAAAUGCACGCACUGUCGCCCAGUGUGACGUUUCUAAGGUGAAUGCACAAUGCGAGGACAUGGAAGCCUGGAGGAUGCGGGAAAGGCGCGUGUGGCCUGUGCUGGGCACCUCCCAUCAGCCAGAUGCACCUGCGCUCCUGGAGGAUGUAGGAAAGGGGCAUGUGGCCUGUGCUGGGCACCUCCCGUCAGCCAGACGCUCCUGCACUCCCACCCCGGCCAUUCCCUUUCCUUUCUUCCGCCAACUCUUCACAUAGCCCAUGAUUUUGGGGGGAAGAAUUAUUUACCAAAUUUUUAAAUCCAUUUUUUCUUCCUCAAUCUAGACUAAUUUCUCAGGUCUGAGGCCUGGAAAGCUUUAUUCCCCAGGCCACUGAACUGCCCUCCUGGAGAGCGGGCCAGUGCUAUGAUUGCCUCUGAGGCCGUUUGAACCUGGAGCUCCCUUUCCUCUCCUACUAAAAUCCAGAAGAACGAGAGGUAAAUAAACAAGGCUCUCCCAGACAGCAUGGGGCAAUGAGCCUGUUUCCUGAAGUCCCAGUGGCCACACAGCUGAACCUUGCAAACUUCUUAUCAAACUCUCAGCCCAAGAACAAUUAGCCAGGAUCAACACCCCAGCAAAGGUCAUUUGGGUUUGGAUUACAAAUUGCCAUCACCUCAGAGAAGAGGAGAGGGGAUCUGUUUGAGAAGAAUGUUUCUCUGCAGCUAAGGAUUAGCAGGCAUCCACAAGCCCGCCCUGCAGAGAUCUUCGAAAGAUGGCUUGGCAUCUUCUUCCGAGCAAGCGCAGCUCUCAGGCCGGGCCUGAGCCUGCAGCCUGUGUGCCCUCCAUCAUCAGGGCCCCCUCUCAGGACAGGCUACACCGAGGGUGGGACGGCGGACUUCCAGGGACACUUCCAAGUCGUGCCCAUGCAGAUACCUCAGUAUACACUGCCCACAGUUAAGAAACCACGACCUGAGACAUUGUUUUGAAGAGGUGAAAAUGCCUCCACUCAAGUGGCCCAGGAGCGUGAUCCAGGAAGACGAACACACAGAACCAUCUUCUGCAUGGUUUGAAAAUUCAGUGGAAACUAGUAAUGCCUAUGCGGGUUCACUGAUGAGAGGGCCCUAUGAGCCAUCCAGAGAAAAGCUGCCAUAUUUCCCUUCCAGAAGACCUGCUUGCAGGCCUUGAAUUUUGAGAGUGUGGGGAAAGCAGUCAAGCCCGCGCGGAGCGAUUGUGAGGGGCUCUGCUGGAAUUUGGCAGCGCGGAGGCUUGGAGAGAAGCCCCAUGCUGGCUCCCAUUCAGCCGGCCCGUUUUCCUCGAGCUUUGGAAGUUUCACUCAGCCGUGCACUCAAUGGCUUCACAAAGCUGAUUACAAGCUUCAGCGCAUUCCUGAAGGAGCCAAAAGCGACGCAGGUGCAAACGAGCCGAGGGAGCCCCUUAUCCCGUCUCCAUCACAAUCACUUAUCUGGAAACCUGCGGUUGGAUUAAUCGUUAUAUUCCCGAGAUGAGCGUCGCUGCAAUCCGCAGCGAACGCGGGUAGGGACCUGGAGACGCCUCCCGGGCGCUGGCGGGGCCGGUGUGGGCCAGCUCCGCUACCGCCUGAGACGCGGUGUGCCCAGGUGUUGGUGCCCGCGGGAGAGGGCUGUGGGGCGCCUUCCCCAGGAUUUGCUUGACUUGCUUUUCGCUCGAGUGGGUGGUGCGCGGGUGCGGGAGGCGGAGGGAGGAGGAGGGGUGAGGGGAGGAGGGCCUGUGGGGCUGCGGACCCGGAGCAGCCUGGGUGGAGCGCGGCCUCGGGAGGCCCUGGGUGCAUCGCGGCGGGGCCUGGGGGGGCCCAGGCGCCGGAGGAGCCGUCGGUGCCGGAAUGCAGCGUGUUUCACUUGGGAGAAACGUUGCCCUCGGUCCCUUGCCUCCCUCCUGUUGUCUCGGUUUUUCUGGCUUCGUCCUUCGUCCCACCCACCCGUUCCCACCUCAGGUCCCUCCCCCAGGAUCCCCUCCUUAAGGAUCCAGGUCUCUGAAAAUUAUUGGCAACAGUUACACGCCCCACGAUUGAAAUCCACAAGAGAAGAGUCCCAGUUCUGCAGGCCGCUCCAGGGCUAGGGGUAGAGAUGGUGGCAGGUGGUGCGUCAACUCUCUAGGGAAGAGGAACUUGCAUUACAAAGACUUGUCUUUCUGAGCUGAAGUCAAAACGGGGGCGUCAAGCGCGCUCCGUUUGGCGGCGGUGGAGGGGCCGCGCGCCCGCGCUGUCCCAGCCGGAGCUGCCCUGGCUGGUGAUUGGAGGUUUAACGUCCGGAAUUCAGGCGCUUCUGCAGCUCAGAUUUGCCGGCCAAGGGGCCUCAGUUGCAACUUUUCAAAAUGGUGUUUCUGGAAAAUAACAAAUUCAGACUCAACUGGUGACAGCUUUUGGCUAUAGAGAAUGAAACUGCUUCCCUUUGGCGGUGGAACUCUUAAACUUCGAAGAGUGAAAGAAUACAAUGAAAUAAAAUGCCAUAAGAUCACUGGAUUUUUCAGAAAAAGGAAGACCCCAAAUUACUCCCAAAAUGAGGCUUUGUAAAUUCUUGUUAAAAAUCUUUAAAUCUCGAAUUUCCCCCUACAACAUCUGAUGAGUGCUUUAAGAGCAAACGAGCAAAUCCCACCUCGAGAAUCAACAAACCCAAGCUCUGGCCAAGGCUCUCCCCGCGUUUUCUUCUCGUGACCUGGGGAAUGUCCCGCCCCAUCGCUCACCUGGCUCUUGUCAUCUCGCUCAUCUUGAAGUGACCCGUGGACAAUGCUGCUCCCUGCCGCAGCUCC